UACGUAGGGGGCAAGCGUUGUUCGGAAUUACUGGGCGUAAAGGGCGCGUAGGCGGCACGACAAGUCGGAAGUGAAAGCCCGGGGCUCAACCCCGGAAUGUCUUUCGAAACUGUCGAGCUAGAGUGCAGAAGAGGCAACUGGAAUUCCCAGUGUAGCGGUGAAAUGCGUAGAUAUUGGGAAGAACACCUGAGGCGAAGGCGGGUUGCUGGGCUGACACUGACGCUGAGGCGCGAAAGCCAGGGGAGCAAACGGG
This 253-nucleotide ribosomal RNA is filed under the name uncultured bacterium. RNAcentral's name for it is "partial 16S ribosomal RNA". It matches the Rfam family "Bacterial small subunit ribosomal RNA", at positions 524 to 776 of the family's 1533-position model. The record is from RNAcentral.